This 83-nucleotide ribosomal RNA is filed under the name Planctomycetes bacterium TMED75. Its description in RNAcentral is "partial 16S ribosomal RNA". It matches the Rfam family "Bacterial small subunit ribosomal RNA", at positions 1459 to 1533 of the family's 1533-position model. Lineage: Bacteria; Pseudomonadati; Planctomycetota. The record is from RNAcentral. RNAcentral also lists the same sequence under 1 other name.
ACGGUGAGGCUGGUGACUGGGACUAAGUCGUAACAAGGUAGCCGUAGGGGAACCUGCGGCUGGAUCACCUCCUUUCUAAGGGA